Molecule: ribosomal RNA, 237 nt
Filed under: Triticum aestivum (bread wheat)
Lineage: Eukaryota; Viridiplantae; Streptophyta; Magnoliopsida; Poales; Poaceae
Description: partial small subunit ribosomal RNA
Source: RNAcentral
AUGUCGUUCAAUGCUUUGGAUUUAGUGUGUUGGAAUGUAAGAGGCCUUAACAGUCCGGCCAAAAGGAAGGCGCUUAGGGGAUUUGUGGAUUCCACUCGCGCGGCGAUUGUUUGUAUCCUAGAAACUAAACUUGAGGUGGUAGACACUUUUGUAAUCUUACAAUGCAUGGGGCUGAAUUAUGAUGGUUUCACUUACUUACCGGCGUCGGACACGAGAGGCGGUAUCUUUGUGGCAUGG